Molecule: non-coding RNA, 2183 nt
Organism: Camellia sinensis
Lineage: Eukaryota; Viridiplantae; Streptophyta; Magnoliopsida; Ericales; Theaceae
Source: RefSeq, a predicted model, not a curated record
UUUGCUCGGAUGGGACUGAGAAUCUAAUCGCGCUCUGUGUGUGUGUGUGUGUGUGUGUGUGUGUUUGUCUGGUAUGGAGAACUGAAAGUUUGACUAUGUAACUUGCAGAGGUAGAUGUGAUGGCAAACAAUUGAAGAUUGGAAAGCUUGUUCCUGCUACAUUGAGGCCUCAAUUGGAGCAGACGUAUGUCUCGGGAGAGUAUUAUAUCAAGUCUUCUGAAGGUAGGCCAAUUGCUUUAGCCCUUUCCUUGACUUUUUGUGAUUUUAUUUUAUCGAAUGACACUUUGAAGGUUGCUAUCAGGAAAUCUGUAAACAAUUCUGGAGUGAAAGAAUAUUGAGAAUUCAUUCAAUUAAAGACACUUAGGCUCCAUUUGGAUACAUAAAUUUGAAAGGAGGCAAUUUGAUGUUCAAUUCUAUGAAAUUGUAAGAAGCUUGAUUAAUGGAUAUAUAUUAUUCGUUCUAAAGUGAAGUAUGCAUAGAGAUUGGAAAUAUGCAUUUUGUUAAUAUUUUUGUACAAGUAGAAUCAUUUAUGGCAGGAUUUCAAAUAACCGUAUUCACUUGUUUCAAAUUCAUUAAUCUAAAACUCUCAAAUCCAUUCUUGAAACUCAUAACUAAAAUAUUACAUUGAAUUAAAUGUUAUACUCCUUGAAUGAGUGACACCAAAUUCAUUCAUUUCAAAUCUUUGUAUCCAAAUGGAGCCUUGUGGUUUUCAACAUGUGAUUGACCUAUCUGACUAGAUCUAUGGGUUCACUUCAGGUGUGGGAUAUUGCUAUUUGGGAUAUAACAAUUCCUUUCUGGAAUUUACCGUCUUUGACAUUGACUUGGCUCUCCUAAUUGGGUUUAAAAUAGCUUAAAUUUCUUUGCAUGACAAGAAUUUCUUAGUGCUGCAAAUUUUGGUUGUGGCUGUGAGGAUUGAUUGUGUUUUCAUAUCAAUACAUUAGUCAUCAAGGGGAUCAGUUAUUUCCUUAUUUUUGUGCUAUCCUUUUCUCAUUGAACAGCAUUGACUUGUUUGCAGAAUUUGUUUGCUUUACUUCUUCUACUGCUUCAGAUAUUAUGUCCCUAUAGCAGGUUGAAGGAUAAGAAUGUUCCGUAGACUUGUAUAAUAGUGUUUUAUGAACUCGUUUGUGAAUGAAAAAAAAUGCAUAUUCAAAUGGUAUUCUGUCAUACUGUGCCAAUGUGGAUUGUGAGAUUUAUGACAAACUCACACAAAACACUGUUUUCUUUCAUGUUGAAUUGAUGACAAGACUUGAUCAAGUCACCAACUAGGUGUGUGUUUGAUGUGCAUGCACCACAUCUGUUCUUACACUUCCAAGUAUUUUGUACUCGGCAAUGUGGAUAUAUUCUAUUGAAAAGAGAGAAGUGCCAACAAAGAUACUCAAUAGCAUGUAUUACACAAGGAAAAUUCAAGAGGUUGAAGCUCAUUUUUUGGUAGAUCAGAAAUCUAAGGCUUUGCCGCACUUUCUACAGUAUGUAAAUGCUCCCUGUUGUGCUUAUAGCCUCAAUCGAAUGCUCUCAGUGAGGCUUUUAGAAACAUGGAAGCCAGAUUCUGUACUGAAGGAGAAACCAUUUUGAUGUCAAGUUUUUUGGACGUGCAAAUUUAAAUAUCACGGUCUUGGAGGCUUCUGGUGAACUUGUAUUUUGGACUCGUGAAAGCAUUCUGAGAAAAAUGGUGCAAUGGUCAUCCCAUUAUAUUGCUCUAUAUGACGUUAGUUUAGACUGGACGCCAUUAGGAUGCCAACCUCUGCCGUUGUAUCUUUAUCUCUUGCUUACUAGUGCAGGAAACCAUGAUGCUCAAACACUUUCUGCAAUGUGCAUGCAGUACAACGGUUGGCAUUGAAAUUGGCCUUUCCACACCUCAUACAAGGAUAAAAAGAAGUGGUGAAGCUGUAUGACGUACACAUAUGAAGUUCUAAAUGGUUGCUUGAGAGGACCAGUACAACACUAUCACAAAACCAUCCUUGUGACAUUGAAGGCUUUUCAUGUAUUUGUUUAGUGAGCUGAUUGAAUUUGCUCCAGAUAUUUUGCUUGCUUGUUAUUUGUUUGGCUUGUAGGAAAAUGUUUUGGCUCUAAAAAAAAAAAAAGUUGACUCCGUCAUGCAUACUAUUACUAGCAAGCAAAAACGGCUUUUGGUACAUAGACUGUGUUUGAUUUAUAGAUUUGAGAAGAGAUUUAAAAAGGUUGGUC